CCGUUCGGGUUGUUAAAGUUACUUUCAGCGGGGAGUGAAGGGAGUAAAGUUAAUUACCUUUUGUCUCAUUGACGUUACCCGCAGAAGAAGCACCGGCUAACUCCGUGC
RNAcentral lists this ribosomal RNA (108 nucleotides) under uncultured bacterium. RNAcentral's name for it is "partial 16S ribosomal RNA". The record is from RNAcentral.